UGACAAUGGUGCCAGCUUUGGGCC
This 24-nucleotide non-coding RNA is filed under the name Mus musculus (house mouse). Lineage: Eukaryota; Metazoa; Chordata; Mammalia; Rodentia; Muridae. The record is from RNAcentral.